GAUGAACGCUGGCGGUAUGCUUAACACAUGCAAGUCGUACGAAGCUUUUUGAAGAGCUUGCUCUACAGAAAGACUGAGUGGCGGACGGGUGAGUAACACGUAAGAAUCUACCUUUUGGAGAGGGACAACCACUGGAAACGGUGGCUAAUACCUCAUAUUGCUGAGAAGUGAAAUGAUGAAUAAUCGCCAAGAGACGAGCUUGCGUCUGAUUAGCUAGUUGGGGGGUAAUGGCCUACCAAGGCGAUGAUCAGUAGCUGGUUUGAGAGGAUGAUCAGCCACACUGGGACUGAGACACGGCCCAGACUCCUACGGGAGGCUG
Molecule: ribosomal RNA, 319 nt
Filed under: uncultured bacterium
Lineage: Bacteria
Description: bacterial SSU rRNA
Rfam family: Bacterial small subunit ribosomal RNA
Source: RNAcentral